GGGGGCGAUUUGGCUUCGACUGGUGUCGUAGCCGGUCGCCGGAGAGCGAGCCGAGCAGUGCCUUCCGGUCAUCUCGUAAAACUGCCGGGGCAAAACACGAAGUGCCGACACUCAGCACGAGACUGCACUCGCGGCCUAACUAAGCCGCGCGGUGCCCUGCCUGCCGCCUCGAGGGCAGGUGCCACCGUCAUUUCGAGGCUCACCCGUCGGAGUCGCCGUGAUCCGACGGGGACACUGCUCACGGUGUAGGACCCGCCGUGCGCCUGGCCUUGGAGCCCGGUGGGUCCGAGAUCUCAACCAGGGCCUACGCUCGUAGCGCUUCGGUGGUCGGGGCACCAGGACGCGGGUUCGACUCCCGCCGCCUCCACGA
RNAcentral lists this transfer-messenger RNA (370 nucleotides) under Egibacteraceae. Its description in RNAcentral is "QS-5-72-10 sp003021615 Standard tmRNA". It matches the Rfam family "transfer-messenger RNA". From Rfam's summary of the family: Bacterial tmRNA, also known as 10Sa RNA or SsrA, is named for its dual tRNA and mRNA-like properties. The record is from RNAcentral. Lineage: Bacteria; Bacillati; Actinomycetota; Nitriliruptoria; Egibacterales. RNAcentral also lists the same sequence under 1 other name.